GUGUGCCCAGGCGCCUGGCGUCCGCGUCGGCGAUCCGGGGUCUGGGCGCGGCGAGAAUGUGGAAGCGUCGGCCGAGCGCGGUCCUUGGAGAACCCUUGCUGCGGAGAAUGACGCUCACUCUGCGGCCUGGCCUCGCCUCCCCAUCCCUUCUGCAAACUCACAGGACAGGAUUGAUGGGGAGAGCCCAGGCGAAACGAAGCUGACCCUAGUGACCAGCCCUACUGGCGGCUCUGGAACAGGCCCGGGACCGGUGGCCUGGAGACAGUGGUCCUUUCUGGAUGGGCUGCAGUCUCCGAAGGCUUCCCCCACUGGAGUCAGCCCUUUAGGAGUUUGUCCAGUGCCUCCAGAAAGCUGUUUUUUGGGGGACGGAGGACUUGGCCUGGAAUUCUGGAAUUCCCAGGGGGUCAGACAUGGUUAUGGGAAGUUUAAUAAAACCGGUGAAUCACGUGAAUUCUGCAACAGCU
Homo sapiens (human) is the source of this 464-nucleotide long non-coding RNA. Ensembl annotates it as SNAI3 antisense RNA 1. Its record names the gene SNAI3-AS1. The record is from Ensembl. NCBI's taxonomy places the organism in Eukaryota, Metazoa, Chordata, Mammalia, Primates, Hominidae.